UCGAAACAAAGUAGACAGACCGGAAGGUAUUUCUAGG
This 37-nucleotide ribosomal RNA is filed under the name Gammarus koreanus. RNAcentral describes it as "partial 12S ribosomal RNA". The record is from RNAcentral. Lineage: Eukaryota; Metazoa; Arthropoda; Malacostraca; Amphipoda; Gammaridae.